AUGCUAAUACCUGGCAGGGGAGGUACCAUGAUCACGAAGCUGGUUUUCCCAGGGCGAGGAUUAUGCAUUGCACUCCGUGUGUGCUGACCCCUGCGAUUUCCCCAAAUGUGGGAAACUCGACUGCAUAAUUUGUGGUAGUGGGGGACUGUGUUCACACUCUCCCCUG
Dasypus novemcinctus (nine-banded armadillo) is the source of this 166-nucleotide small nuclear RNA. Its record names the gene U1. It matches the Rfam family "U1 spliceosomal RNA". From Rfam's summary of the family: U1 is a small nuclear RNA (snRNA) component of the spliceosome (involved in pre-mRNA splicing). The record is from Ensembl. Lineage: Eukaryota; Metazoa; Chordata; Mammalia; Cingulata; Dasypodidae.